RNAcentral lists this ribosomal RNA (441 nucleotides) under uncultured bacterium. Its description in RNAcentral is "bacterial SSU rRNA". It matches the Rfam family "Bacterial small subunit ribosomal RNA", at positions 958 to 1398 of the family's 1533-position model. The record is from RNAcentral.
AACGCGAAGAACCUUACCUACCCUUGACAUCCCAGGAACGCUGCAGAAAUGUAGUGGUGCCGAAAGGAACCUGGAGACAGGUGCUGCAUGGCUGUCGUCAGCUCGUGUUGUGAGAUGUUGGGUUAAGUCCCGUAACGAGCGCAACCCUUGUCCUUAGUUACCAGCACGUAAAGGUGGGGACUCUAAGGAGACUGCUGGUGAAGAACCGGAGGAAGGCGGGGACGACGUCAAGUCAUCAUGGCCUUUAUGGGUAGGGCCACACACGUGCUACAAUGGGGCGUACAGAGGGAAGCCAACCCGCGAGGGGGAGCCGAUCCCGGAAAGCGCGUCGUAGUCCGGAUUGAAGUCUGCAACUCGACUUCAUGAAGUUGGAAUCGCUAGUAAUCGCGAAUCAGCAUGUCGCGGUGAAUACGUUCCCGGGCCUUGUACACACCGUACGUC